RNAcentral lists this ribosomal RNA (519 nucleotides) under uncultured Actinomycetes bacterium. RNAcentral's name for it is "bacterial SSU rRNA". It matches the Rfam family "Bacterial small subunit ribosomal RNA", at positions 376 to 896 of the family's 1533-position model. Lineage: Bacteria; Bacillati; Actinomycetota; Actinomycetes. The record is from RNAcentral.
CGAAAGCCUGAUCCAGCAACGCCGCGUGAGGGAUGACGGCCUUCGGGUUGUAAACCUCUUUCAGUAUCGACGAAGCGCCCUGUCGGGUGGUGACGGUAGAUACAGAAGAAGGACCGGCCAACUACGUGCCAGCAGCCGCGGUAAUACGUAGGGUCCGAGCGUUGUCCGGAAUUAUUGGGCGUAAAGGGCUCGUAGGCGGUUUGUCGCGUCGGGAGUGAAAUCUUACAGCUUAACUGUGAACUUGCUUCCGAUACGGGCAGACUUGAGGCAUUCAGGGGAGAACGGAAUUCCUGGUGUAGCGGUGAAAUGCGCAGAUAUCAGGAGGAACACCGGUGGCGAAGGCGGUUCUCUGGGAAUGUACUGACGCUGAGGAGCGAAAGUGUGGGGAGCGAACAGGAUUAGAUACCCUGGUAGUCCACACCGUAAACGUUGGGCGCUAGGUGUGGGGCCUAUUCCAUGGGUUCCGUGCCGCAGCUAACGCAUUAAGCGCCCCGCCUGGGGAGUACGGCCGCAAGGCUA